CUAAAAGUUAAAAUAAUACAAGACUUACAAAGGCCAGAGGCUCCUGACUUGGGACAAGCGCAAAAAUGUGGCAGGGUUAAACAUGUUUGUGAGAUCUCAACCCUCCCCCUAUAGCUCUAGCCAAUGCAGAAAAGUAAACGCAUAACAAUAAGCACAUUAAAAUUCAGUUCAAGAGAAGUCCGAGUCUGAUGUCAGAAGAUGUAACCAAAGAAAAUAAACAAAAUGACAAUAAUACAUAAAUAACAUCAGACUACUAGCAGUUAACUGACAUGCCAGCUCCAGACUUCAAUUAAACUGAUUGAAAAAUUAUAUUUUCAUCAUAUGAAUAUCAGGCAAAAUCCUCCCCGUGAGGGGUUUAGUAUCAUACCAUCAUAACAUAUAUGAGAAGAACAUAACCCGUGUCAUGCCAACAACUGGUUAAUUAAUAAUAAUUGUGUUUAGUUCCAAUGUAAAGACCCUAUAAGUGAAUCAAUAUUAGCG
Molecule: long non-coding RNA, 480 nt
Filed under: Mytilus galloprovincialis (Mediterranean mussel)
Lineage: Eukaryota; Metazoa; Mollusca; Bivalvia; Mytilida; Mytilidae
Source: RNAcentral